This 367-nucleotide long non-coding RNA is filed under the name Sus scrofa (pig). RNAcentral describes it as "lncRNA (ENSSSCG00035026037.1)". The record is from RNAcentral. Lineage: Eukaryota; Metazoa; Chordata; Mammalia; Artiodactyla; Suidae.
AGCUUGGACCAGGUUGCAGCAUUUAACGGACUUUUCUAGGUUUCCAGAGUAAUAGACUGAUGUCUACAGUGAGGGAUGCACAGCUCGUUCCUCUCACACCCUCGGGUGUCCGCCCCUCGCAAAGACUCGGGAUUGGAACCUACGAAGGCUUCCCAAAUGCUGACCCAGCCCUGCACCAAGCCGGCCCUGCACCAAGCCGGCUGCCAGAACCUCCCAGGAGCCGGUUUCGAUAGAGAGGCGUCGCUGUGCCGCAGAAGAACCAGCACAGUUUUGGGACCGCUCAGGGCUCAGAUCCUGGUAAAGACACGCGCAGGUGGAAUUCCUCUUUUCUGGACUGAGUGGCAAAGAAAUCACUUCCAGAGAGCCU